Molecule: ribosomal RNA, 585 nt
Filed under: uncultured bacterium
Lineage: Bacteria
Description: partial 16S ribosomal RNA
Rfam family: Bacterial small subunit ribosomal RNA
Source: RNAcentral
UGGGGAAUUUUGGACAAUGGGCGAAAGCCUGAUCCAGCAAUGCCGCGUGUGUGAAGAAGGCCUUCGGGUUGUAAAGCACUUUUGUCCGGAAAGAAAUCCUUGGCUCUAAUACAGUCGGGGGAUGACGGUACCGGAAGAAUAAGCACCGGCUAACUACGUGCCAGCGGCCGCGGUAAUACGUAGGGUGCAAGCGUUAAUCGGAAUUACUGGGCGUAAAGCGUGCGCAGGCGGUUUGCUAAGACCGAUGUGAAAUCCCCGGGCUCAACCUGGGAACUGCAUUGGUGACUGGCAGGCUAGAGUAUGGCAGAGGGGGGUAGAAUUCCACGUGUAGCAGUGAAAUGCGUAGAGAUGUGGAGGAAUACCGAUGGCGAAGGCAGCCCCCUGGGCCAAUACUGACGCUCAUGCACGAAAGCGUGGGGAGCAAACAGGAUUAGAUACCCUGGUAGUCCACGCCCUAAACGAUGUCAACUAGUUGUUGGGGAUUCAUUUCCUUAGUAACGUAGCUAACGCGUGAAGUUGACCGCCUGGGGAGUACGGUCGCAAGAUUAAAACUCAAAGGAAUUGACGGGGUCAUAGCUGUUUCCU